This 199-nucleotide ribosomal RNA is filed under the name uncultured bacterium. RNAcentral's name for it is "partial 16S ribosomal RNA". It matches the Rfam family "Bacterial small subunit ribosomal RNA", at positions 157 to 353 of the family's 1533-position model. The record is from RNAcentral.
GGAAGAUUAAUACCGCAUAAGAUUGUAGUAUCGCAUGAUAUAGCAAUUAAAGGGAGCAAUCCGCUAUAAGAUGGACCCGCGUCGCAUUAGCUAGUUGGUGAGGUGAUGCUCACCAAGGCGACGAUGCGUAGCCGACCUGAGAGGGUGAUCGGCCACAUUGGGACUGAGACACGGCCCAGACUCCUACGGGAGGCAGCAU